GACGAACGCUGGCGGCGUGCUUAACACAUGCAAGUCGAGCGGUAAGGCCCUUUCGGGGGUACACGAGCGGCGAACGGGUGAGUAACACGUGGGUGACCUGCCCUUAGCUCUGGGAUAAGCCUGGGAAACUGGGUCUAAUACCGGAUAUGACUCCAUGACGCAUGUUGUGGGGUGGAAAGCCUUGUGCGGCUAGGGAUGGGCCCGCGGCCUAUCAGCUUGUUGGUGGGGUGAUGGCCACCAAGGCGACGACGGGUAGCCGGCCUGAGAGGGCGACCGGCCACACUGGGACUGAGACACGGCCCAGACUCCUACGGGAGGCAGCAGUGGGGAAUCUUGCGCAAUGGCGAAAGCCUGACGCAGCGACGCCGCGUGAGGGAUGACGGCCUCGGGUUGUAAACCUCUUUC
RNAcentral lists this ribosomal RNA (405 nucleotides) under uncultured bacterium. RNAcentral describes it as "bacterial SSU rRNA". It matches the Rfam family "Bacterial small subunit ribosomal RNA", at positions 28 to 437 of the family's 1533-position model. The record is from RNAcentral.